CUAAUUUCAUAUUUUCAACACACGAGGAAGUUUCUUAUUUCCUGAAUUUUCUCCUAGAUAAGGGGACAUGAAGCCCUGAAUGAGAGGUGACCCUAAACAGCAUUGCUUGAGGCCCAGGAUGACUGCUGUGAUAUUUUUUUUUCCUGUUGUAAUGGAGGAGUCAUGGACAUCUGUCCCACUGGGAAUCCUCAGUCCUUUGAAAAGAAAAACAGAGGUUAAAAAUCUGCUAAACCAGUUAGCAGCAACCAGGAAUAAUCCUUCUCCUCUACAGCCAGGUGACUGUGAGGAAGCAGGAUGACCUGAUGUCACUCACAUUGUUGCCUCUGCCUUUGAAGAGCCCAGCUCUCCCCUCAGCCCUGGGAUGGGAUGGCUAAAUGGAUUCUCUGUGUUUACCGCUGGCCUCACUCCCAGUGCACUCUUCAAUUUGUCUAACAAUAAAGGUGGACAGAAGAGUUGGACUCUCCCAAAGAAUGGAUGAAUUUUUUAUUGAAUGGUUGAAUUGAGUUGCAAGUCGCACAAUAUUUAUUCAUAGGGGUUUAUUCACAGAGAUAUUCUGCUGAAAAGUGACCCAUACAACAAGUCUAGAGGUCUGAUUUUCCUCAUCUUGCACUCACCUAUUCACAUGGUCGCACCCGAUAUCUGCUGUGCUCCACACACACCACACCACUGUCUGCUGCGCUCGCUUGCACCUGCACCUUAUUACUCUGCCCUUCAGUUAUACACAGCUAAACAGGCUAAACCAGUAAAAAUAUGCACGUCUGAAUGUUCAGCCUAAGUUUCUGUUUGCUUGAUCAAAAAAUUUUACAUUCAUCUUGUCAAAAAAGUGAAGGCUGAUAACAGACGGGAAGGCCAGACAGGAGGCAAUAGGCCUAGACUAUUUUGUGAUAUGAUCACAUUGUCAUGUCCUGUGUGAGGACACAAUGUGAAACCACAAAGCUACACACUUGAAGGUGGCGCUUCCUCUCCUCUGUCUUAUCUGAUGAUCAACAGAGUGCAAACCUGUCCCUUUUUAUCAGGUUAUUUAGGUAGCAAAUAUUUAGACCUACCUGGGUAGAAACAGCAGGGAGUCUUUUGAUAAGUGAUCAUCUGGUUUGGUCUCAUGUCAUAUGGGUCAUGUGGUUUUCUGGAACUAUGUUCAAACACAACAACACUCACCCACGCCUCCCGUUUUCCUGUAUUUGUAUCUUCUGCUGUAAGCUGGAAUCCAGGUGUUUAAGAGUGUAGUUUCUAAGUACAAUGGCUUAAGGGAGAAUUUUGAUUGCAACAUGGUAUGGCCAUUCAUCAUGUGCCUGUCCUGCAUUGGAUCAGUAGAGACCAUUUCAGUGAAUUGUUUCCCAAAUGUAAAAUGGGAUAGAUUUGUAACAUAAAUACACUGUAACACAAAAAAUACCCAUAAUUAUAUAUUCAAACAUCCAGUUAUUAUUACACCUCCUGGCAACUGAAUAGACAACAGAAUUAGAACCUCUCUUCUAACAUUUUCUCUCCAAAUUGUAAAACAGUAUUUUAACCAUUGUGCCAGAAAUAUGCUGUAAAAUGUCUGCAGUGACUAUAUGUAUGGUUUGGAAAGACAUUUUAUUGAUAUUUUUGUUGAUAUUAAACAUUUUCUCUCCAAAUUAUAAAACAGUAUUUUAACCUUUGUGCCAGAAAUAUGCUGUAAAACAUCUACAAUGACUAUAUGUAUGGUUUGGAAAGACAUUUUAUUGAUAUUUUUGUUGAUAUUAAAGAUUACAAAUUUAGUUUCACAUUUUUCUUCUACUCUUGUGUCAAAGAAUCCUAACAUAAUUUAUGCACAAAUUAUCUCUGUAGUGUGGUAUAU
This is a long non-coding RNA of Myripristis murdjan (pinecone soldierfish), 1816 nucleotides long. RefSeq lists it as uncharacterized. The record is from RefSeq and is a predicted model, not a curated record. NCBI's taxonomy places the organism in Eukaryota, Metazoa, Chordata, Actinopteri, Holocentriformes, Holocentridae. The transcript has 3 exons.